AGCAGCCGCGGUAAUUCUAGCUCCAAUAGCGUAUAUUAAAGUUGUUGCAGUUAAAAAGCUCGUAGUUGAAUUUCGGGGUCAGUAGGUCGGUCGUGCCACUGGUAUGAACUGGUUUUACUGAUUCCUCCCUCUUGAAGAACUGUAAUGCCAUUAAUUUGGUGUUGCAGGGAAUCAGGACUGUUACUUUGAAAAAAUUGAGUGUUUAAAGCAGGCUUUAGCUUGAAUACAUUAGCAUGGAAUAAUGAAAUAGGACGUUUGAUCCUAUUUUGUUGGUUUCUAGGAUUGACGUAAUGAUUAAUAGGGAUAGUUGGGGGCAUUAGUAUUCAAUUGUCAGAGGUGAAAUUCUUGGAUUUAUUGAAGACUAACUACUGCGAAAGCAUUUGCCAAGGAUGUUUCAUUAAUCAAGAACGAAAGUUAGGGGAUCGAAGACGAUCAGAUACCGUCGUAGUCUUAACAUAAACUAUAGCCGACUAGGGAUCGGAUAGAUGUUAAUUUUUAAUGUACUCAUUCGGCGCCUUUA
Molecule: ribosomal RNA, 520 nt
Filed under: uncultured Glomus
Lineage: Eukaryota; Fungi; Glomeromycota; Glomeromycetes; Glomerales; Glomeraceae
Description: SSU rRNA
Rfam family: Eukaryotic small subunit ribosomal RNA
Source: RNAcentral